UACGUAGGUGGCAAGCGUUGUUCGGAAUUACUGGGCGUAAAGGGCGCGUAGGCGGCUUCGAUAGUCGGGUGUGAAAUGCCUGGGCUCAACCCAGGAACUGCACUCGAAACUCCGAGGCUAGAGUGUGGGAGAGGAUAGUGGAAUUCCCAGUGUAGAGGUGAAAUUCGUAGAUAUUGGGAAGAACACCGGUGGCGAAGGCGGCUAUCUGGACCACAACUGACGCUGAGGCGCGAAAGCGUGGGGAGCAAACAGG
This 253-nucleotide ribosomal RNA is filed under the name uncultured bacterium. RNAcentral describes it as "partial 16S ribosomal RNA". It matches the Rfam family "Bacterial small subunit ribosomal RNA", at positions 524 to 776 of the family's 1533-position model. The record is from RNAcentral.